CCGACUUAAAAAGAUUCCAUUGUCGCAAGGGAAAGGGUACUAGAAUCCCCCGCGUUGGCGAAAUCGUCCUGCUAAAGGAGCCAAAUAUCAAGCGUGUUUCGUGGCCUACGGCCAUUAUAACGGAAUUGAUUCCCGGCUAUGACGGCAAGAUACGAGCUGUAAAGUUACGUCUUCGUUCAGAAAAGGAAACAACACGAGGUCUCCAGACCAUUUAUCCAUUGGAAAUUCAACAUGACGUGGAUCCGCCCGUCAAUGUUUCCGUAGACGGAUCUAGAGAAGCCGAGGCUGGCCAAGAAGAAGGAGGUGCAUCCGCGCCUAAGAAGAAACCCCCCCGCAAGAAGAAAAAGGAAUCGCCGAGGAGGACUCGCGAUUCCGGUGGGGAGGAUGUUGCGGAUCACGACCCGCCACCUGACGGACAAUUAACUAGGUCGGGCCGACUAGUUCGCAAGCCCACUAUUUUUGAUUUAUAGUAUGUGUAAGGCCGCCAGGGGUGCUGUGUUCAGCGUCUUCUUGGUGGCCGAUCUCGGUUAAUGUUCCUUCUUCGCAAUUGUUCAACAAGGUAGAGCAGACGCCAUAAUAAGUUGUGUCAGAAUCUGAAUAAAAGCUAGAGAAUCAGCAACAAUUUACCUGAGUCAAGUGUUUUCAAAUCAAUAAUUACUUAUCAGAUCGGACAGUUCAGUCACAAAUUCUAGUAAAAAAUCGUUGAUGCAGUUUGGUUUCUUGAUGCCACAAAAUACUCCAACUACAAUUAGUUCGGCAUAUUCUACGUCGUAUAACUUCCCCACAAUGGGCCAAAAACUGUUCCCACUACUUUUAACUAAAGGGAGCCCAUCGAUAUUCCAUAUAAAUUGCAAAACAUUUGGAAUGUCCUUUGAGUUCAAAAGAGCCAAAACAACAGCAAGAGUCGAAGCUAUGCCAAAAUUUAAGAAGGAACCAGGCUGAACAACUCUAUAUUGAAUUCUUGAUCUCAGUGACUUGAGCAGUGUUCUCGAGUCCAAAGGAAGAUACGCCAGACCAGCUUCUCUGUUUAAACGCUUCAAUAGGUUCGAGACAUGAGCUCUUCGUAUGUUGCAAUCCAGUACCCAUUCAGCAAGACUCCGUCUCACAGCUUCUUCAUGAGAAACAUCAAUGUUCUCAUCAUUUAAAUUGACCAGCCAAUCAUUGACGUAGUCAUCUGGGAUGGAUGAUUCACUAACAGAUUUGUGGUAAGAAUCAUCUUCCUCCAAAGGUUCCUCCCAGUCAAUUUUUUCAUCGUUCAUGAAAUGUUGGUAAUCUGUGGUAUAACCUGAAGCACCUGAAGCCUGACUGUCACCUUCAAGAAAAUUGGGAUGGCCUGGGAAUAAACAUAAAUGAAUAA
Molecule: long non-coding RNA, 1357 nt
Organism: Daphnia magna
Lineage: Eukaryota; Metazoa; Arthropoda; Branchiopoda; Diplostraca; Daphniidae
Exons: 2
Source: RefSeq, a predicted model, not a curated record